CUUUGUGGCACCGGGAGACUGCUUCACUGGUGCCUUAUAUUGCAGGAGAAAAAGUUCAAAGAAGUUUUUGUUGGUUACAACUCACAAGGCAUCAUUCUUGCUAAUUCAUGGGAAUGACUGGUGUGCCAUAGUUUUACCAUCUGAAUCACAUCAUUUAUACGAAGUUGAUGAAAUAAUGUUUUUGGAUCAAGCUGCUACUCCCUUGCUAGGGGACUGCUUUAUUUUUAUCCAAGAUCUGUAAUGACAAUGUAAUUAUCUUUGUCAAAGAGAAG
Molecule: unclassified non-coding RNA, 272 nt
Filed under: Hevea brasiliensis (rubber tree)
Lineage: Eukaryota; Viridiplantae; Streptophyta; Magnoliopsida; Malpighiales; Euphorbiaceae
Source: RNAcentral